AACCAUUUCAGGACCUCAGUUCAACAUCAAGCUGCUGGAACUCCGACCCCUCUGCACACCUGCGACGAGCAGAGGCAUCGCCGGGAACCCCUAGAUGAAUGAAUCCUGACUGGCCAGCGGGUGAAACAUGUCAGUAUAUUGGGAGUGGCCUCAGGCCUUGCCCCAGGCCCGUGCACACUCGCUCUCUCCCUCCUAUACCCUUAUCAUCAAGUUUCCAGUGGCCUAGCAGAGGGAGCAGUAAGGACUUUUAAUGAGGGGAUGAAGAUGAUGGAAACUUGGAAACAAAGCUGGGUUGCUUCCUUUAGAAAUACAAAACCACUCCUCAAACUACAACAGGCAUUAGCUCAUCCCAUUGUUUGAUGGGGAGGAAGAUAAGAAUUCAUUGGGACUCAAUCCAUCACAGCAUGGUGGGAAGUGUUGAGGAAGCAAGCUUUUCAAAAACAUAACCUUGACAGAGCUGGACCCAACAGACCUAUACCAAAAGUUUCAACACUCCCCAGCCACUGGGGAUUCAGCCCACAGGAAGGAGGAGGCUCAUGAGGCAGCAGCUGACUUGCAAGCCCAUGGAAACUGCUGAAAGUGAGCAACAUCCAGAGGCACGGUCUUUGGCACAGCCCUGGGACGUUCUGGAAAGUUCCUGCUAUCCAGGCCUCUGACAGCCAUGAAUCCUGCUCUCAUUCUGUGAAAGGACCAACCUCACUUUUAUCCUUCAAAGGUUUAGGUGGAAACUCCUUGACUUGAAACUCAUGGAGGUUCGCAAUCUCCUACCCUGCAAAAGGAAUGAUCUGGCUCAGCUGUGAGCAGUAACUUUCGCAAUACCAAGAUGUGCCCUUGAGGGCCAGCUCCUACACACUGGUGCAGUGACUCUGUCAGAUAAGGAGGUGAACAAGGAAGAGUAAAGAGGACCUGUUUCCAAAAGUGCUUCAAUUGUCUGUCUGAUCAUGCGGCUAGCAAGUACAGAGCAGGGAGAGAGAAAAACUACAAUGGAUAGUCAGGAGAGGAUUAAGGGGCAGGAGAGAUGAUAAAGCUCAUGGAGGACACAUCAGAGAUGCUCAGGUCCCUGAUUGCACUACAGUCGGAACAUAUCCCUACUUGACUCCUCCUACAACCCAUACAGACUUGCAUUCCAGACCCUCCAUUCCUCACAUGUUCCUGACCUGUUGCAGUAUCCCCUGUACUCUAUCCCUAGAGACAUGUUCCAUAAUGACAGCUGGACUAACACACAGCUGUGAGAGACUCAUUUCAGAGACUGCUGCUCAGUGUCAUGUCCCCUGUAAGAAAUGGACAUGUGUGUAUUGCUGUUUAAUAAAAA
This is a long non-coding RNA of Mauremys mutica (yellowpond turtle), 1312 nucleotides long. RefSeq lists it as uncharacterized. The record is from RefSeq and is a predicted model, not a curated record. The transcript is spliced from 4 exons. NCBI's taxonomy places the organism in Eukaryota, Metazoa, Chordata, Testudines, Geoemydidae.